UCCGAUAUGGUGUAGUGGCCAACAUGAUGCCCUCUCAAUUUGUAGAUACAACUGUAAAAUGGUAAGGCAUAGCCCCGAGUUCGAUUCUCGGUUUCGGAA
Molecule: transfer RNA, 99 nt
Filed under: Colletotrichum higginsianum
Lineage: Eukaryota; Fungi; Ascomycota; Sordariomycetes; Glomerellales; Glomerellaceae
Description: tRNA CH063_16201
Rfam family: tRNA
About the family: Transfer RNA (tRNA) molecules are approximately 80 nucleotides in length. Their secondary structure includes four short double-helical elements and three loops (D, anti-codon, and T loops).
Source: RNAcentral